UACAGAGGUCUCAAGCGUUGUUCGGAUUCAUUGGGCGUAAAGGGUCUGUAGGUGGCCAACUAAGUCAGACGUGAAAUCCCUCAGCUUAACUGGGGAACUGCGUCUGAUACUGGAUGGCUUGAGUGUGGGAGAGGAAUGCGGAAUUCCAGGUGUAGCGGUGAAAUGCGUAGAUAUCUGGAGGAACACCGGUGGCGAAGGCGGCAUUCUGGACCAUAACUGACACUGAGAGACGAAAGCCAGGGGAGCAAACGGG
This 253-nucleotide ribosomal RNA is filed under the name uncultured bacterium. Its description in RNAcentral is "partial 16S ribosomal RNA". It matches the Rfam family "Bacterial small subunit ribosomal RNA", at positions 524 to 776 of the family's 1533-position model. The record is from RNAcentral.